Diceros bicornis minor is the source of this 641-nucleotide long non-coding RNA. RefSeq lists it as uncharacterized. NCBI's taxonomy places the organism in Eukaryota, Metazoa, Chordata, Mammalia, Perissodactyla, Rhinocerotidae. The transcript has 2 exons. The record is from RefSeq and is a predicted model, not a curated record.
ACUCAGGGAAAUAGCUCCCCAUAAUGCACUGUCUUAGGGAGGAACCCUGGUGAGAAACAUUGAUGAGUAGGGAAGGAAGAUUGAUUCUUCUGAGCCAGAUAAGGUGUGAUGCCGGUGAACUCCUCCCACCCCUCAGGACUCUCCCAGAGUUUCACUGACCAUUGAAGUCAGAUGCGUAAAAGCUUUGCUUCUCGGAGACCCACCGCUCAGGCGGAAAGGUACUGGCACAGCCUCUUCAGUUCCUGGUAGGGAGCGCCAGAGAUUAGCCCACACUGAAAGUGCCCUCUGGGGGGAAUGAUGGGAGGGUCCUUGUGUCCUGGACUGAACUACCCUAGGUCUCAUCUGACCUCACAUAGUGGAAACUACUCAGUGGAAAACUCCCUUAGCAGGAACAGGCUGACCACAGGCGGGAAACACCACUACAACAUAUCCAUCACAGCUGACAGAAGAAAGGAACAAUGUGGUGCCUGGAGCCCAUCCCGCCUGGAGACCAACAUCCCUGGACCCCCUCCUUACGGCCCAUUUUCCCUAUAUAACUGCCUCAAGAUUCUGUAAUCUUUGAAGAUGGGUCUUUGAGACGUUAGUCACCUGUCUUCUGAUUUGCCGGCUAAUCUAAUUAAACUUUACUUCUCGAUCUCUAA